This is a long non-coding RNA of Drosophila mojavensis, 938 nucleotides long. RefSeq lists it as uncharacterized. The transcript has 2 exons. Lineage: Eukaryota; Metazoa; Arthropoda; Insecta; Diptera; Drosophilidae. The record is from RefSeq and is a predicted model, not a curated record.
CUCUCUCUCUGUCAGGCUGUCGCUCACUCUUGCUAGUGGGUUCAUUUAGAACUGUCAACUGCAAUGCGAUGCGCCUUGUAUUUCUGUAAGCAGAGCAAAACUAAAGCACGUUGAGUGGGAUUAAACGAUAUUAUAGGGUAUUAGACAUUUAGGCCAAGUGAGACAAAACGCCGUAACGAAACAAGCAGCGGCUGUGGCAGCAGCAUCACCACCAGCAAAUGCCCAAGUCAUAGCGAAAAGGACGUAAUCCGAGUCGAGUGUCGAGUUGAUUCAAUUCGAGUCAAGUGGGUGAGACGCAUUUUGAGUGAGAGUUGAGGUUCAGGCACCGCUGCUGCAGUCGCUGUCGCCGUCACCGUUGCCGUCGCAGUCAACGUUGACUGUGGCGUCGCUGUCAUUAGUGAUUAAGUGCCCUGCAGCAAGUAAUUUUUCUUGCUUCAGCUCAACAGAGCAACGCAGACUCUCACACUUACACAAACAGCUGUUAAGCAGUCGCUGUUAACUUAACAGGGCUGGAAGCUUUUCAUUCGAACUGCUGAGAGAGUGAAUGCCAGAGAGAGCGAGCGUCAAAGAGCAAGUGAGCGUGAGAACGUUUAGCUGUGUGAGCUCACUCGCCUUCGGUUCUUUUUUGUCAGCGCUGAGCGCAGGAGUUUUGCUCGUAUUUUGCCCCCUAUGGGCAGCUCGGGCCAUUGGCAUAUUCCAGUUAAGCGCCAUCUGCAAUUUGUGGCACAGUCAGUGCCGUUUGGGGCCAUCAGCAAGAAGCAGGAUUGUAACGUCCAGCCAAAACCCAACACAGAAAUAAAAUCAAAUUGAAUACGAAAAUCAUAAUACAAAUUGCUGCUAUGUGACCUUCGCGUGUGGCUGUAAGUCCAAAAAGAAUGCAACAACAACAACAGCAGCAUCAGCAACAACAACUUCUACAGCAACAACAACAACAGCAG